GGGCGAUUAGCUCAGGUGGUAGAGCACUUGACUUUUAAUCAAGUUGUCGCGGGUUCGAGUCCCGCAUCGCUCA
This 73-nucleotide transfer RNA is filed under the name Firmicutes bacterium CAG:791. It matches the Rfam family "tRNA". Rfam says of the family: Transfer RNA (tRNA) molecules are approximately 80 nucleotides in length. Their secondary structure includes four short double-helical elements and three loops (D, anti-codon, and T loops). The record is from Rfam by way of RNAcentral. Lineage: Bacteria; Bacillati; Bacillota. RNAcentral also lists the same sequence under 14 other names.